CCAGCCAAAGAGCGAGCAGUUUUGAAUUUAGCAGCUGAUGCUCUGCACACUGAAUUCUUAUCACACAGGUGUGAUCCUAUGAUAAUAUAAAAUAUAUUAUACGGCUAUAUUUUGUCUUUUGGAAGCUGCAUUGAAAAUCCACUUGGCAUGAAAAUCUGUGGAGCACGUGCCCCCUCACUUUAAAUGGGCAUGACGCUUCUGAUUACAGAGAACGUCAUCCUAGAUGCACAUGGCUGGUUUGGGGUUUGCUGAGGAGAGUCAUUCAGUCUGUGCUGCUGGUCAGGAGGGGCAGUUUGUAAGACUGUGCGUUCUGCUGUUAGUGUCACAGACGGCGCAUGUGAAAUGUGUGUUCAGAGCAGAGAACAGCGGCCUUAUCACGUCCUCCUUCUGUCCAGUGCCUCGAGGGGACGGAUUCUAUUGUUUCUAGAAAAAGACCAGUCCCAAACUGCCAUUCAGCACCUUGGAGAGCAGCAGCAUGCUUUCUUUGCAAGUGCAGAUUGUAAGAGAUUGUGCUAAUUCAGCAUUUAUUGACCUUCAUGUCUGCAUAAAUACUCAUAGACAUGCA
Molecule: long non-coding RNA, 565 nt
Organism: Carassius gibelio (silver crucian carp)
Lineage: Eukaryota; Metazoa; Chordata; Actinopteri; Cypriniformes; Cyprinidae
Exons: 3
Source: RefSeq, a predicted model, not a curated record